ACCAAUGAUGAUAUAUCCAAUUAGUGGAGUUGCAAAUGGUGCCGAGUUCUUGUGAAAACAAGGAGAACCUACUUGGCGUUGCCUUUGCAUUUCAAUGACACCAUUGGGUACUAACUGAGGU
Molecule: small nucleolar RNA, 121 nt
Organism: Cryptomeria japonica (Japanese cedar)
Lineage: Eukaryota; Viridiplantae; Streptophyta; Pinopsida; Cupressales; Cupressaceae
Product: small nucleolar RNA Z278
Exons: 1
Source: RefSeq, a predicted model, not a curated record